This is an RNA transcript of Populus euphratica (Euphrates poplar), 2218 nucleotides long. It is a transcript of the gene named probable protein phosphatase 2C 27, with no coding region annotated. The record is from RefSeq and is a predicted model, not a curated record. The transcript is spliced from 6 exons. NCBI's taxonomy places the organism in Eukaryota, Viridiplantae, Streptophyta, Magnoliopsida, Malpighiales, Salicaceae.
AGAGCAGCAAUUACAACUGCAACUACAACCUAACCAACCGAUUUUCAGCCACGCUUUCUUAGAAAAAUCUCUAAUUUAACGGCUCUUAUUUUCACUCACCCUCUCUCUCGGCCCUCAACAACUCCUCCAUAGAACCCCAUUAGCCUCCAUUUUGUCAUCUUAGAUAUAUUCCUCAUAGUCUUCCACCCCUCUCUAAUCCUAGCAUUUUCUCUUUGAUUCUCUCUUUCUUCUUCUACUUUUUCUUUUUCUCCUCUCAUGUGAGGCGUGUUGCUGCUGCUUUGGAUUCCCACAAAGACAACAACUAGUUGCCAAAGACUCUAAAAAGUCUCUUUUUUUCUUCUUCCUUUUCUGUCACCAACAUAAUAAUAAUAAUAAUAUUGACCAUAACCAUGUGUGCAAAGGAUGCAGAGCAAGAAAUAGAGAACCCAAUUGACAAUAAUAGUAAUAGCAACAAGAUGCAAUCUUGGCCUUUGCAUUGUGACCUCUUGCAAACCCGGAUGGAGAAUUUUGAUCAAGACUCUUCUUUGAUUUGUUCUAGUGGUGGGAUCAGUGUUGCCAACUCUUAUCCUCUGGAAAGCAUCUGCGAGGAUCGAGUGGUCACAGAAAGGAAACAGAAUCUUCUAACAGAUUUUUUCCCCACCCUUCGCUCAGGAGAAUGGUCUGAUAUUGGUGGUCGGCCUUACAUGGAAGACACACACAUUUGCAUCAGUGACUUGGCUAAGAAGUUUGGCUCCAAUUUGCUCAUCAGUGAGCAUGCUAUUUCUUUCUAUGGUGUAUUUGAUGGGCAUGGAGGAGAGAGUGCAGCACAUUUUGUCUGUGAACAUUUACCAAAAGUCAUUGUUGAGGAUGCUGAUUUCCCUGUAAAACUUGAGAAAGUGGUCGCAAGGUCAUUCAUUGAGACUGAUGCUGCAUUUGAAAAGUCAUGCUCCCUUGAGUCAGCCCGUUCUUCUGGCACUACUGCACUUACUGCAAUGAUAUUUGGGAGGUCAUUACUUGUGGCAAAUGCUGGUGAUUGUCGGGCAGUAUUAUCACGAGGUGGAAUAGCUAAGGAAAUGUCAGAGGAUCACAGACCUUGCUGCAUUAAAGAAAGGACUAGAAUUGAGUCCUUAGGUGGAUUCAUUGAUGAUGGUUAUCUAAAUGGUCAGUUAGGUGUUACCCGUGCAUUAGGUGAUUGGCAUCUCGAAGGAAUGAAGAAAACAGGUGACAAAAGCGGCCCAUUAAGUGCUGAACCAGAACUUAAAUUGGUUACGUUGACCAAGGAAGAUGAGUUUUUGAUAAUCGGAAGUGAUGGAAUAUGGGAUGUAUACUCAAACCAAAAUGCAGUAGAUUUUGUUAGGAAGAGACUUCAAGAGCACAAUGAUGUGAAGCGGUGCUGCAGAGAAAUGGUCGGGGAAGCAAUAAAACGGGAAGCAACCGACAACUUGACUGUUGUAAUUGUUAGCUUUCACCUGGAGCCACCACCACCGGUGGUGGUACAGAGGACAAGAUUCAGGCGGAGCAUUUCCGCCGAGGGACUUCGGAAUCUCAAAUGCUUGCUAGAAGGAUGACAUCUCAAAGUUUAUUCUCACCACAAGCAGGACAUUUUGACUUGGAAGCUUCCAAAACUGCCCAACACAAAUUCCAACAAGACAAACUAGUAUCAUAACUCAUUGUGUCACUAGUUUGGUUCCUAUAUCCUCUGCCUUCACCACAUGAAGUGGUGGCAUGUUUGAUAACAGUCUAUUCUAAGCAGAUAAAUUGCUGUAAAACAUGUUUUGCUGGCUGGAACUCCUGACAAUAGAGCUCAAAUCACUCAGAAAUGAUGCUUGAGAGUUCUUGCACUUUAGUCUUCUUAAUGCCCAGCAAUUAUGCUACAAUAAAUGGGAAAACGCUCGCUAAAAAAACCAAAGAGUUUGUAGCUACGAGGUACUCUUGCAUGAGCAAAGGGGGUGAGGUCUGAGGUUGAGUUUCGUUUUUAUCAUUUUUCUUCUUCUUCUUCUUUUUGAUAAGCCAAAGUAGAUCAAUAGAAGAAACCAUGAAAGCAAAAGAAGCAGAGCACUGGCUCCCAAACAGAAAAGGUGAAGACACUGAACAUAAACUAGAACAACAGAGAAAUGACAGGGCAAGGUAGCUAAAAAAUAUACUUGUAUCCUUCCAUGUGAACCUGCUGCGUGCGACAGCCAUGGUAUUACCUCAGGACAUGGCUAUUUAUAUCAUAGACUACGAUCUAUCGAGGACC